This 460-nucleotide ribosomal RNA is filed under the name uncultured bacterium. Its description in RNAcentral is "partial 16S ribosomal RNA". It matches the Rfam family "Bacterial small subunit ribosomal RNA", at positions 338 to 795 of the family's 1533-position model. The record is from RNAcentral.
CCUACGGGAGGCAGCAGUGAGGAAUAUUGGUCAAUGGACGCAAGUCUGAACCAGCCAUGCCGCGUGCAGGAAGACGGCUCUAUGAGUUGUAAACUGCUUUUGUACGAGGGUAAACCCAGAUACGCGUAUCUGUCUGAAAGUAUCGUACGAAUAAGGAUCGGCUAACUCCGUGCCAGCAGCCGCGGUAAUACGGAGGAUUCAAGCGUUAUCCGGAUUUAUUGGGUUUAAAGGGUGCGUAGGCGGUCGGAUAAGUUAGAUGUGAAAUUCCGAGGCUCAACUUCGGAAUUGCAUCUGAUACUGUUCGGCUAGAGAGUAGUUGCGGUAGGCGGAAUGUAUGGUGUAGCGGUGAAAUGCUUAGAUAUUAUACAGAACACCGAUUGCGAAGGCAGCUUACCGAACUGCUUCUGACGUUGAGGCACGAAAGCGUGGGGAGCAAACAGGAUUAGAUACCCUAGUAGUC